RNAcentral lists this ribosomal RNA (321 nucleotides) under uncultured eukaryote. RNAcentral's name for it is "partial 18S ribosomal RNA". It matches the Rfam family "Eukaryotic small subunit ribosomal RNA", at positions 1470 to 1796 of the family's 1831-position model. The record is from RNAcentral.
CCCUUAGACGUUCUGGGCCGCACGCGCGCUACACUGACCGGUGCAACAAGCAUCCGUCCUUGGCCGACAGGCCCGGGCAAUCUUUGAACGCCGGUCGUGAUGGGGAUAGACUUUUGCAAUUUUUGGUCUUCAACGAGGAAUUCCUAGUAAACGCAAGUCAUCAACUUGCAUUGAUUACGUCCCUGCCCUUUGUACACACCGCCCGUCGCACCUACCGAUUGAAUGGUCCGGUGAAAUCUCGGGACGGCGGCUUGGUCGCUUGCGUCCGACUGCUGAAACUUGAUUAAACCAUAUCAUUUAGAGGAAGGUGAAGUCGUANCA